Molecule: long non-coding RNA, 490 nt
Filed under: Bos taurus (domestic cattle)
Lineage: Eukaryota; Metazoa; Chordata; Mammalia; Artiodactyla; Bovidae
Description: long non-coding RNA NONBTAT010846
Source: RNAcentral
GUUAAAACUUUUUUGAAAAUGAUUAAGUAUAAAAAUAAGAUUGAAGUUCAUUUUAAUAUGUGAAUUUUCCUUAUGAGACAAAAAUACAUGAUAAAAAUUGAAAACAGUUUAUUAUAUUUUUAUACCAUUUAUGUACUAAUUAUUAUUAUUACUAUUUAUACUAUUAUACUUUAUGUUAAAUUUGCAUAAAAAUUCCUACUAAGUGAGAAAAUCUUUUAAAGAAUUUCAUUGGUUUUUAUAUAGACAAAACAUUCAGAGGCACAUGAUGGCCGGUUGUUCUUUUCAUGUCAUAAUUGAUCAAAGGGUUCAAGUAACCUUAGACUUAUUCCUUCAUUGUAAAGUUCCCCACAGCCUUUCGCCUUACGAUGUUUGAAACCUAUGAUCAGUCUUGCCUUCAUUAGGUACUACAGAAUAGUGGUUUAAAAAAAGACACAAAAACCUGCUUUAUGAUUUAUUAGCUAGAAACACACUAGUUUUAGAAUCUGCUUUU